This 492-nucleotide ribosomal RNA is filed under the name uncultured bacterium. RNAcentral's name for it is "partial 16S ribosomal RNA". It matches the Rfam family "Bacterial small subunit ribosomal RNA", at positions 29 to 507 of the family's 1533-position model. The record is from RNAcentral.
AGUGAACGCUGGCGGUAGGCCUAACACAUGCAAGUCGAACGGCAGCACAGUAAGAGCUUGCUCUUACGGGUGGCGAGUGGCGGACGGGUGAGGAAUACAUCGGAAUCUACUUUUUCGUGGGGGAUAACGUAGGGAAACUUACGCUAAUACCGCAUACGACCUACGGGUGAAAGCAGGGGAUCUUCGGACCUUGCGCGAUUGAAUGAGCCGAUGUCGGAUUAGCUGGUUGGCGGGGUAAAGGCCCACCAAGGCGACGAUCCGUAGCUGGUCUGAGAGGAUGGUCGGCCACACUGGAACUGAGACACGGUCCAGACUCCUACGGGAGGCAGCAGUGGGGAAUAUUGGACAAUGGGCGGAAGCCUGAUCCAGCCAUACCGCGUGGGUGAAGGAGGCCUUCGGGUUGUAAAGCCCUUUUGUUGGGAAAGAAAAGCAGCAGGUUAAUACCCCGCUGUUCUGACGGUACCCAAAGAAUAAGCACCGGCUAACUUCGUG